Molecule: ribosomal RNA, 497 nt
Filed under: uncultured bacterium
Lineage: Bacteria
Description: partial 16S ribosomal RNA
Rfam family: Bacterial small subunit ribosomal RNA
Source: RNAcentral
GAUGAACGCUGGCGGCGUGCCUAAUACAUGCAAGUCGAGCGAACAGAUGAGGAGCUUGCUCCUCUGACGUUAGCGGCGGACGGGUGAGUAACACGUGGAUAACCUACCUAUAAGACUGGGAUAACUUCGGGAAACCGGAGCUAAUACCGGAUAAUAUAUUGAACCGCAUGGUUCAAUAGUGAAAGACGGUUUUGCUGUCACUUAUAGAUGGAUCCGCGCCGCAUUAGCUAGUUGGUAAGGUAACGGCUUACCAAGGCAACGAUGCGUAGCCGACCUGAGAGGGUGAUCGGCCACACUGGAAGUGGGACACGGUCCAGACUCCUACGGGAGGCAGCAGUAGGGAAUCUUCCGCAAUGGGCGAAAGCCUGACGGAGCAACGCCGCGUGAGUGAUGAAGGUCUUCGGAUCGUAAAACUCUGUUAUUAGGGAAGAACAAAUGUGUAAGUAACUAUGCACGUCUUGACGGUACCUAAUCAGAAAGCCACGGCUAACUACGUG